CGCUUCUUUCCUCUCUGUAACUAAGAUGAGAAUGACUUGUUUCAUUUAUGAAAUGUAACCUGGCUGAUAAAUCUUUUAAGUUCUUUUUUUUUUUUAAAUAAACGGUGUUUGAUAAUAUUACUGGGUUUGGGUAAUUGUCACUGUAUCUUGAAGAAAGUGCAUUAACUGGGACAGAGAAUAGGACAAAUUAUUCUCUGAUCCUAUAUCUGACCAAUAUUCGCCCUUAUUCUAGUAAGGUGGUGUUACUACUAUGUGGCAGACAAAAACCAGAGGAUCAGCAACAAUGCAAGACUGACUUAAAGCACUUACAGCAUAUUUUGUUGUGCUCCCUACUUUUCUAGAAUACUAGGCAAGUUGGUUAUUAUAGUUUAAGAGAAGGGCAAAUAUGUCUUAGGCUUAUUCACACUUUUUUUUUUUUUUGUAGGUGCUGUUUGUUGACUGAAUUAAAUAUGGCACUCAAAUUGCUUAAACAAUAUUCACACAAUAUCUGUAUUAAGAAAAAAAAAACAAACACCACAACAAAUUAGAACCCCAUUUAGGUAAACUGUAUGUUCAGCUUCUUUAGGAAAGUCUAAAUAUGAUUACAUAACUGUCUGAAGAGCCACGUAAGCUGCCAAAGUUCUGUGGGUGUUUCAGAUUCAGAAUCCAACCUUCAGUUCCCCCUACUCAUUUUUGUUCCUUGACAGAUUCAGUCCUUGUCUAUCACUCAAGGUAAGUUCUGCUGCAGCAGCAGUCUGAGCAUUAGCAUAGAUGAAAUUCAGAUGACAGAGACCUGAUCUUGUAUCAACUUUAAAUGCAAACUAAGGCACAGCUAGAUCUCUCCAAGGAAACAAAGAGCAGUUUGUUCUGCCAGUACCGGAGGCAUGAGCGCUAGACCGUUAUAGCACAGCUCAGGCUGUGGCCAAGCACUAAUUUUUCCCUGACACCCUCUGGCCUGCACUAACACCAUUCAGCUGCACAUUCUCCAAACUAAGUACCUCACCUGCUGGGAAAGGCCUCCCUGAGAACCAGUCUCUUGUACUCCCAGAAGUUUCCAAUUACAGACUCAGAAGCUUUUGCCUGUUUUCUUUAAGCUGGAGUCUUUUUCCCCAGUCACUCAGAUUCCAUGGUGGAACAACCAUACAGCACACUUAUCUGAACUGCAGUAAACUUCAAACAAAAAUGUAAUUAGCAAAUACAUAGUAUGCUAUAGAAAAACCUGACAUAAAACGAUACCUGUUAGCUUGAAUCUUCCGUAACAUUAAGAUUUUAUUCAGAAUAGUAGAUCUUACUAGUAUUACACUUUAGCUGUACCUUUAAGCACUCUCCCAUCAUGCUCUGUCAGUCCUAUAAAUCUGCCUGCUUCUGCUGCAACUUCACAGUACUCAGGCACCCUGCCUGGCUGUUUGAGUUGCUACAUCAUUCAUCAAUAUUUUCUGAAUAGCAAGGUGAGAAAAGACAAGCAGGAAAAAAAAAGGAAGUAAGAUAGGUCACUUGCUGGUUUAUCUCCAAUUCACAACUCAUUAGAAGAGACAAGUUAAACAGAGGUCUUGGAAGCUGUUACCUGCUCAGACUUUAAAAGAAUUAAUGCAAGACUGCUUACAAGAGAACUUGCUGCUUACCCAAGAACUGCUUACAAAGUAAAACACUGGUGCAGGAAUACUGUUAUCCAUCUUCGGCUCUUAUAUAACUUAUUUCAGAAGAUGUUACAAUGAUUAAGCAUGUAAGUUUGUUGACUCCAAGUGUGGUGUCUCCCCUGUUUUCACUAGAAAAUGACUGUCUUGCCCAUCAGUUUCAGCCAGCUGUGUGCUCAUACCUCAAAAGUACAAACAAAAUGCCGAAGGCCAUUUGGGCUCUAGCAACUUAACAGACUUAUAUUUGUUGAUAUGGCAACUGAAGCACCAAGGUUUAAGUGAAAAUUGUAGGACUUGAUUGCCUGAAGUUAAGUAAGAAAUACUCAGAUAAGUAAAUAUGUAAAAAGGCCCCUUUUUGAGUGAUACACAAAGCCCUUGUAACUUGGAGACCUGUGCCUGUCUGCAGAACAGAUUUCCUAAUAUGUGUAAAUAAGGAUCUGGACGUGUAACUGCAGGCAUUCAAACUUGAAAAGUUUGGUCUACUACUCUAUUUCUCCUUUUGAUGCUGAGUACAUCACACCACGCUGCUCGGGUGUUUGUUUGUUUUCAAAUUAUCAUGGUUAUAAUUUUGACAGUAGCUUUGUAGAAUAGAAGACCAAAUGGAGAUGUCAACUGUGUGAGCAGGGACAAGGAACAUAUGGCUGGGUAUAUUCAGACCAACAAAAGAUUCCUUUCAGCCCAGUGAGAGGGGAAAGAAAGCUACAGAGAAUAGCAGCAUCAGGAAAGGGGAAUGGAUAUAGAGGGUAAAGACAUCUACAUAAGCUGUAUGAAUAACAUACUGCCUGGAGAUUUAAUAUUGGAAAGUUAGCUCUGUUGCUUGGUUCAUUUGGAGAGAGUAUAUAGGCCUGGGAAUUAAAAAUCAGGAGCUCUGGAAACAACUGUCAUCAUCGUCUUCCAUUAAUGAUCUGUGUAGUCUUCUCAGGGUUUGGUGUUGGGGCCUUUGCUCUGAAACUGCAAAGCCAGACUGGAAGCUGUCUGAACCCACGGCCAGUUAUAUUUGGAUCACCUAAGCUCAUUAAUAAACAUCUUUUCUUACAACUUUUAAGUCUUUACAGCCGUUAGUAGCAACCUUCAUACUGCUAUCACUCAAUGUGGACGGGCUCAGAGAAGCAGGAUUUUUCCUUACCAGACGAAAGAUGUGGUGCGUCUGGCUCUUGUCUUCCUGCCACGGUCCUUCUGGCACACCCAGGACUUCCGUGGUUGUGGCCGUUACAGCCGUGGCAGUCUUCACUCCGAGUCGUGUGGCCAAGGUUCCCUUUGCAGUUGUCAGUCUUGCUUCAUUUGCAAGGAGAGUGUGCCAUGAACAUUUGCUCUGGCUUUUCUUCCCUUUCUCCGUUGUUCUCUCAGGCCUAUAUUUAGCUUUGGCAUAAGCAACCUGGUCUUUGACUUUGGUCAUGCACACUUGUGCCAGAACUAAAUUUGGGCUUCUGUCUUGCCUGUGUGGCACACUGGCACUUUUAAAAUGACAGAGAAAUGUAGUUUAAAUGGACUAGACUCUGGCAAUUCAUAAAGCUCUAGUUGUAACUACCCGAGGACAAGUUAAUAGAUUAUGCUGUUUGAUUCCUCUGACUUCUUGGCACAGCUGUUUGGGAUAUAAAUCCUCUCAGUAGUGAACGGUUAGUUUCCAAAUCCUUAAUGUGCUAUACUAGGCAAAAAGUUCAUAGAACGAUGUUGAGGGGAGAAAAAAUGUAAUGAGAUAUUAAAAUUGAUGUGCAUGCUCGCCACAUGCUGUAUUGUUGUAGGUGAAUCUAAAAGCAGGAAAACAGAGAGGAUGGAGUAUUCAGGGGACCUGGGGGGUCUGUCAGACUACUAAAGGCUCUGGUUAUCCCACAAGGAAACCUGUCCUUUCUUCCCAUCACAGUAAGGCAUUGACAGCUGUCAGAAGGCAUAGCAUAGAAGGCGUAUUUGCAGGACAAAAGAGUCCAGGAGAUGACAAAUUGAUUAAAAGGUGAAGCUUAAAAAUGUGAUGUCUUCUGAAAUUUUAAUAAUCCCUGCCCGUGAGAACGUAUAUAUAGUAGCUGGACAGUUUCUAGUACUGUUUAGGAACAUCCACAGCAAUCUUGGCUUUCUGAUCUAGCUCUCAAAAGGAGGAAAAUAUUAAUUUUCAGGGUCUUAAAAUACAUAAACAAUAGGUAUCUCAGCACAACCUGAGGUUGUCUCCUAUCAACUUUAUAAUCUUUAUAUUCUAGAUAAAUAAACACUUCAGUCUUGGAGUUUAUUAGUCCAAAAUAUAUUUAUUACCUCAUAAAUUCAAAGCCCUUCCAGUUAACAUCUAAUUAAACUGCAGUAGUGUGCAAGCUGUCUUAGGGGACGUAUUAAUAAUGAAAUUACGUUGUGAAACAGUAAUUACAUGCUUUGUACAUUCUUUUCCUUACUUUUUUUUUUUUCAGAAUCUAUGUGAUGAGUGGGGCACACAGUGCUCCAUUGUUUUGAGCUCCUCCAAACUCUGAAUUGUUUUAACUCUGCAAGCUCUCAGUUCAUGAAACAUAUUAUGGCUGAAGAUGUAAAGAAGACAUUAAAGCUUUUGCCCACUUACAGCUAUUACUCUGGAGACAAACACAACUAAGAAGACAAAUGUUAUGAGCUACCUUUCGCCUCUAGGGAGAAGAAGAGGGAAGAAAAGGCUACAUGUGACAGAUGCUAAUUAUGCAGCUUAAUGCACUUCUGGAAGUUGCAGAGAUGAGAACUAUGUAAGAACCUAUCUGAAAAAUAGAAAGCAUAUUUUCAAUAACAUUUUCCCUUUUUUAAUUUUAUUUUUAAUUUGCCUCCUCCCUCUUUUUUUAAGGAGGCUUUAUUUCUCAAAUAGUAUGUACUGCAAGCAAAGGGCAAGCUAUGUUUCAGGUCCAAAAUUUUCCAUAAAUGCAUAUGACUGUUA
Long non-coding RNA from Oxyura jamaicensis (ruddy duck), 4488 nucleotides. RefSeq lists it as uncharacterized. NCBI's taxonomy places the organism in Eukaryota, Metazoa, Chordata, Aves, Anseriformes, Anatidae. The transcript is spliced from 8 exons. The record is from RefSeq and is a predicted model, not a curated record.